GUGUGCUGGUGAAGUGUUUGGAUCGGUAUCAAUGGGGGGCAACCUCUGUUGGUACUGAGAAGAACAUUAAACCCUCCCACCUAGAGGAAGGAGAAGUCGUAACAAGGUUUCCGUAGGUGAACCUGCGGAAGGAUCAUUG
This 139-nucleotide ribosomal RNA is filed under the name Dunaliella salina. RNAcentral describes it as "partial 18S ribosomal RNA". It matches the Rfam family "Eukaryotic small subunit ribosomal RNA", at positions 1693 to 1831 of the family's 1831-position model. RNAcentral also lists the same sequence under 2 other names. The record is from RNAcentral. Lineage: Eukaryota; Viridiplantae; Chlorophyta; Chlorophyceae; Chlamydomonadales; Dunaliellaceae.